GAGUUUGAUCGUGGCUCAGAUUGAACGCUGGCGGCAGGCCUAACACAUGCAAGUCGAGCGGAUGAAGGGAGCUUGCUCCUGGAUUCAGCGGCGGACGGGUGAGUAAUGCCUAGGAAACUGCCUGGUAGUGGGGGAUAACGUCCGGAAACGGGCGCUAAUACCGCAUACGUCCUGAGGGAGAAAGUGGGGGAUCUUCGGACCUCACGCUAUCAGAUGAGCCUAGGUCGGAUUAGCUAGUUGGUGGGGUAAAGGCCUACCAAGGCGACGAUCCGUAACUGGUCUGAGAGGAUGAUCAGUCACACUGGAACUGAGACACGGUCCAGACUCCUACGGGAGGCAGCAGUGGGGAAUAUUGGACAAUGGGCGAAAGCCUGAUCCAGCCAUGCCGCGUGUGUGAAGAAGGUCUUCGGAUUGUAAAGCACUUUAAGUUGGGAGGAAGGGCAGUAAGUUAAUACCUUGCUGUUUUGACGUUACCAACAGAAUAAGCACCGGCUAACUUCGUGCCAGCAGCCGCCGCGGU
This 520-nucleotide ribosomal RNA is filed under the name uncultured microorganism. RNAcentral describes it as "bacterial SSU rRNA". It matches the Rfam family "Bacterial small subunit ribosomal RNA", at positions 9 to 524 of the family's 1533-position model. The record is from RNAcentral.